RNAcentral lists this ribosomal RNA (393 nucleotides) under uncultured bacterium. Its description in RNAcentral is "partial 16S ribosomal RNA". It matches the Rfam family "Bacterial small subunit ribosomal RNA", at positions 523 to 918 of the family's 1533-position model. The record is from RNAcentral.
AUACGGAGGAUCUGAGCGUUAUCCGGAUUUAUUGGGUUUAAAGGGUGCGCAGGCGGGAGAUUAAGUCGGCGGUGAAAUUUUGCAGCUCAACUGUAAAAGUGCCUUCGAUACUGGUUUCCUUGAGUGUGGAUGAAGUAGGCGGAAUUUGUGGUGUAGCGGUGAAAUGCUUAGAUAUCACGAGGAACUCCGAUUGCGCAGGCAGCUUACUAAACCACUACUGACGCUCAGGCACGAAGGCGUGGGGAUCAAACAGGAUUAGAUACCCUGGUAGUCCACGCAGUAAACGAUGAUUACUGGCUGUUUGCGAUACAAUGUAAGCGGCUGAGCGAAAGCGUUAAGUAAUCCACCUGGGGAGUACGUUCGCAAGAAUGAAACUCAAAUGAAUUGACGGGG